This 218-nucleotide long non-coding RNA is filed under the name Chinchilla lanigera (long-tailed chinchilla). Its description in RNAcentral is "lncRNA (ENSCLAG00000024290.1)". Lineage: Eukaryota; Metazoa; Chordata; Mammalia; Rodentia; Chinchillidae. The record is from RNAcentral.
GGAGUAGUGGCUUAAAUGAACUUUGGCUACUUCAUCAAGCAGGCUGAUUACUGAGGAAGCAUCAGAAGUCUCAGCUGAGUGACUCAUCAGCAAAAUUCAACAGAGUUUCAGAGGGAAGGGAAGGGUGCUUUCUGCUGAUACUGCACCUGCGGAGUUAUGAAGGUGAGCGGGUGAAUCCUAUUUAACUAUUUAAAUUCUAACUUCAAGCAUUUUUAUAG